GUCAGUGAGGAUGAGGAGGGGUGAAGCAGCCCCAGGUGGGGUCAGUGAGGAUGAGGAGGGGUGAAGCAGCCCUAGGUGUGGUCAGUGAGGAUGAGGAGGUGCAAGCCCUGCUAAGGGCUGCUUUCAGGGGUGUUUGUACCUGCUGGAGUGGGCAGUCUCCAGGAAUCUGUCAAAGGACAAUAUUUGCAGAAGGAACCCCUGGAUGCUCCAUGAGCAUUGCUCCAGGAUGGGCAGAGGGACAAGUCCUGUGCCACUGGGCAGCACAGGAGAGGGAGCAGCACACCUGAGCAGCCUGUAACAGCACUGCUGGCCAGUUCUGGGGAGUGUGAGAAGGAAGCUGUGCGUGCAUCUUGUCUCUUAGUAAGACAACACCACUGUGGAGACAUACAAUCAUUCAAAUCCUGUAUUUGUAAUUUUACAAAGACUAUAGGCUGAGAGUUCAAUUACUGCUUAUGUCACAACCCAUAAUUUGUUAGGCAUUCUGUCAAGAUUCACUGCCUACUCCCAUUGGAAUGAGUCUUACCUUGCUGAGAGAAUUGUUGCAGCCUGGUGACCUGAGCCAGCUGCUGCAAUGAGUCUGGACAAGAGGACAAAACCCUCCUCUGAUUACCAGCCACUAUGAUGUGAAGGUUGAGGAAUCUGCUGCAGGUAGCUUGGCUUGUGAACUGCAGAUUGAGCCAGAGACAAGAGGCUGUGAGCUACCAACAUUUUGUUCAACAAAGGACAAGAAAAUGUGUGGUGCCAGCCACGUGGAUGGAUGCUGGGAGACAGACACAGAGGAGUCAAGAGGAAGACUUGCAUGUUGAUUGGGCUGUGAGAGGAUAAAAGCCCAGGAGACCUUUGGGGUCUCUCCUCAGAGGCACCAGCUUGAGCUGUUUCUGCAAUAUUGUGUUGUGAAGAAAUGGCUUUAUGGAACCAAAGACAACUGAGACUCUGCUAAGGGAAAUCUCAGCUUGAAUUGUCACCAAAUCCACUGAAAACUAGUUGAAUAAGACUCCUUAACAUCAAUUUAGUGUUAAGAAGGACAAUUUAUUCAGGCACUUGAUUACACUGGUGAUAACUGGUAACUGUGUAUGGCACAUGAUUUUACAAGUCUGUUAUACAGCCACUACAUGCAUGUUACAAUUUGGCCAUUAUCAUAAAACCCUCCCCAGGUUCCCAAACUCA
Molecule: long non-coding RNA, 1167 nt
Organism: Cyanistes caeruleus (blue tit)
Lineage: Eukaryota; Metazoa; Chordata; Aves; Passeriformes; Paridae
Source: RefSeq, a predicted model, not a curated record